GGAGGAUAGGCAGAUAUCGGUUUGCUGCACUGCACUGCUAACGCAGUUCCCAACGAAAGUCGGGAUGAGGGUUCGAGCCCCUUGUCCUCCG
This 91-nucleotide transfer RNA is filed under the name Saprospiraceae bacterium. Its description in RNAcentral is "tRNA-Ser". It matches the Rfam family "tRNA". Rfam says of the family: Transfer RNA (tRNA) molecules are approximately 80 nucleotides in length. The record is from RNAcentral. Lineage: Bacteria; Pseudomonadati; Bacteroidota; Saprospiria; Saprospirales; Saprospiraceae.